GCCAAUCAAACCGGGAGAUAGCUGGUUCUCCCCGAAAGCUAUUUAGGUAGCGCCUCGUGAAUUCAUCUCCGGGGGUAGAGCACUGUUUCGGCAAGGGGGUCAUCCCGACUUACCAACCCGAUGCAAACUGCGAAUACCGGAGAAUGUUAUCACGGGAGACACACGGCGGGUGCUAACGUCCGUCGUGAAGAGGGAAACAACCCAGACCGCCAGCUAAGGUCCCAAAGUCAUGGUUAAGUGGGAAACGAUGUGGGAAGGCCCAGACAGCCAGGAUGUUGGCUUAGAAGCAGCCAUCAUUUAAAGAAAGCGUAAUAGCUCACUGGUCGAGUCGGCCUGCGCGGAAGAUGUAACGGGGCUAAACCAUGCACCGAAGCUGCGGCAGCGACGCUUAUGCGUUGUUGGGUAGGGGAGCGUUCUGUAAGCCUGCGAAGGUGUGCUGUGAGGCAUGCUGGAGGUAUCAGAAGUGCGAAUGCUGACAUAAGUAACGAUAAAGCGGGUGAAAAGCCCGCUCGCCGGAAGACCAAGGGUUCCUGUCCAACGUUAAUCGGGGCAGGGUGAGUCGACCCCUAAGGCGAGGCCGAAAGGCGUAGUCGAUGGGAAACAGGUUAAUAUUCCUGUACUUGGUGUUACUGCGAAGGGGGGACGGAGAAGGCUAUGUUGGCCGGGCGACGGUUGUCCCGGUUUAAGCGUGUAGGCUGGUUUUCCAGGCAAAUCCGGAAAAUCAAGGCUGAGGCGUGAUGACGAGGCACUACGGUGCUGAAGCAACAAAUGCCCUGCUUCCAGGAAAAGCCUCUAAGCAUCAGGUAACAUCAAAUCGUACCCCAAACCGACACAGGUGGUCAGGUAGAGAAUACCAAGGCGCUUGAGAGAACUCGGGUGAAGGAACUAGGCAAAAUGGUGCCGUAACUUCGGGAGAAGGCACGCUGAUACGUAGGUGAAGUCCCUCGCGGAUGGAGCUGAAAUCAGUCGAAGAUACCAGCUGGCUGCAACUGUUUAUUAAAAACACAGCACUGUGCAAACACGAAAGUGGACGUAUACGGUGUGACGCCUGCCCGGUGCCGGAAGGUUAAUUGAUGGGGUCAGCGCAAGCGAAGCUCUUGAUCGAAGCCCCGGUAAACGGCGGCCGUAACUAUAACGGUCCUAAGGUAGCGAAAUUCCUUGUCGGGUAAGUUCCGACCUGCACGAAUGGCGUAAUGAUGGCCAGGCUGUCUCCACCCGAGACUCAGUGAAAUUGAACUCGCUGUGAAGAUGCAGUGUACCCGCGGCAAGACGGAAAGACCCCGUGAACCUUUACUAUAGCUUGACACUGAACAUUGAGCCUUGAUGUGUAGGAUAGGUGGGAGGCUUUGAAGUGUGGACGCCAGUCUGCAUGGAGCCGACCUUGAAAUACCACCCUUUAAUGUUUGAUGUUCUAACGUUGACCCGUAAUCCGGGUUGCGGACAGUGUCUGGUGGGUAGUUUGACUGGGGCGGUCUCCUCCUAAAGAGUAACGGAGGAGCACGAAGGUUGGCUAAUCCUGGUCGGACAUCAGGAGGUUAGUGCAAUGGCAUAAGCCAGCUUGACUGCGAGCGUGACGGCGCGAGCAGGUGCGAAAGCAGGUCAUAGUGAUCCGGUGGUUCUGAAUGGAAGGGCCAUCGCUCAACGGAUAAAAGGU
RNAcentral lists this ribosomal RNA (1654 nucleotides) under human gut metagenome. RNAcentral's name for it is "bacterial LSU rRNA". It matches the Rfam family "Bacterial large subunit ribosomal RNA", at positions 828 to 2464 of the family's 2925-position model. The record is from RNAcentral.